CUUAGCACAGCACUUAGCACAAAGUAGGCAUAACCAGCUCUUACCCAGACCUUGCCAUAUGCCAGGAGAGUGCUGGGGAUGACAUCACAGAGCCAGCUCACGUGUUCUGCUGCUGGGAUUCCAAAAGCUGGAAGCAUACCUGUUAAAUAAGCCUGUUCAGUGCCUUUAUGAUCACUGCAAACAUCAAUCAUUGAAACCACCAUUAUACUAGUUCCAGCAUCUCUUACCUGGGUCCCCUCAAGCCAAGGAUUUGUUGCCCACGGCCAACAGCCUGCCGCUGGCACCCCCUUCUGAACCUCCUCCAAGAGCACGCACAUCCCAGGGCAGCCCCAGCCAGAGACUGACAGACAGGAGGCCGAAGUCCCGGUCAUUCGGCCGAUGUGGGCCGUCUACACUCAACGUGGGGCUCGUUGAGGUGCUGGCAGCCUGCGUCCCAGCUAGACUUCCUCCUCUACGCCCCUCUGCUGCCUCUCCUGCCCUCCCACAGGGAUUUGUCCCUAAUAAAUGCCCUGCCCAUCACA
Felis catus (domestic cat) is the source of this 521-nucleotide long non-coding RNA. RefSeq lists it as uncharacterized. The transcript is spliced from 2 exons. Lineage: Eukaryota; Metazoa; Chordata; Mammalia; Carnivora; Felidae. The record is from RefSeq and is a predicted model, not a curated record.